RNAcentral lists this ribosomal RNA (253 nucleotides) under uncultured bacterium. Its description in RNAcentral is "partial 16S ribosomal RNA". It matches the Rfam family "Bacterial small subunit ribosomal RNA", at positions 524 to 776 of the family's 1533-position model. The record is from RNAcentral.
UACAGAGGUGGCAAGCGUUGUUCGGAAUUACUGGGCGUAAAGGGCGCGUAGGCGGCCUUCUAAGUCAGACGUGAAAUCCCCCGGCUUAACCUGGGAACUGCGUCUGAUACUGGAGGGCUUGAGUGCGGGAGAGGGAUGUGGAAUUCCAGGUGUAGCGGUGAAAUGCGUAGAUAUCUGGAGGAACACCGGUGGCGAAGGCGGCAUCCUGGACCGACACUGACGCUGAGGCGCGAAAGCCAGGGGAGCGAACGGG